RNAcentral lists this ribosomal RNA (466 nucleotides) under uncultured bacterium. RNAcentral describes it as "partial 16S ribosomal RNA". It matches the Rfam family "Bacterial small subunit ribosomal RNA", at positions 28 to 507 of the family's 1533-position model. The record is from RNAcentral.
GAUGAACGCUGGCGGCGUGCUUAACACAUGCAAGUCGAACGGAAAGGCCAGUGCUUGCACUGGUACUCGAGUGGCGAACGGGUGAGUAACACGUGGGUGAUCUGCCCUGUACUUCGGGAUAAGCUUGGGAAACUGGGUCUAAUACCGGAUAGGACAACUUUUUGGAUAUUGUUGUGGAAAGCUUUUGCGGUAUGGGAUGAGCUCGCGGCCUAUCAGCUUGUUGGUGGGGUAAUGGCCUACCAAGGCGUCGACGGGUAGCCGGCCUGAGAGGGUGUACGGCCACAUUGGGACUGAGAUACGGCCCAGACUCCUACGGGAGGCAGCAGUGGGGAAUAUUGCACAAUGGGCGCAAGCCUGUUGCAGCGACGCCGCGUGGGGGAUGAAGGCCUUCGGGUUGUAAACUCCUUUCGCUAGGGACGAAGCGCAUGUGACGGUACCUGGAGAAGAAGCACCGGCUAACUACGUG